GACGAACGCUGGCGGCGUGCCUAAUACAUGCAAGUUGAGCGCUGAAGGUUGGUACUUGUACCAACUGGAUGAGCAGCGAACGGGUGAGUAACGCGUGGGUAAUCUGCCUUUGAGCGGGGGACAACAUUUGGAAACGAAUGCUAAUACCGCAUAAAAACUUUAAACACAAGUUUUAAGUUUGAAAGAUGCAAUUGCAUCACUCAAAGAUGAUCCCGCGUUGUAUUAGCUAGUUGGUGAGGUAAAGGCUCACCAAGGCGAUGAUACAUAGCCGACCUGAGAGGGUGAUCGGCCACAUUGGGACUGAGACACGGCCCAAACUCCUACGGGAGGCAGCAGUAGGGAAUCUUCGGCAAUGGACGAAAGGCUGACCGAGCAACGCCGCGUGAGUGAAGAAGGUUUUCGGAUCGUAAAACUCUGUUGGUAGAGAAGAACGUUGGUGAGAGUGGAAAGCUCAUCAAGUGACGGUAACUACCCAGAAAGGGACGGCUAACUACGUG
RNAcentral lists this ribosomal RNA (497 nucleotides) under uncultured bacterium. RNAcentral's name for it is "partial 16S ribosomal RNA". It matches the Rfam family "Bacterial small subunit ribosomal RNA", at positions 28 to 507 of the family's 1533-position model. The record is from RNAcentral.